CAGCUAUAUGGGAGUUGCUGUGCAUAGAACUGAAAAAUGCUGAUAUUUUGAAAGCAACCCAUCGGCCUUGAGUGAAGACCGGGCUCCUGUUGCGAGCGGAGCUGCACAAACUGGCAAGAGCCACUUGCUCCCCUGAAGAGUUUAGCAAUAUCUGCCUGACGAAGGCAGGCACCACUGGCGGGUGCAAGCAGGCAAGCUGGAGACCAAGGCACUUGUCCAAGGAGAUGAUUGUUGCAUACCUGUUGAAAGUGUCAUCUUCCUGUACCUUAAAGCAAAUGAAAAUCAUAUUCAAGGAGGACUUCUGAGCACCACAGAGGGAAAAAAAAAAUGGGAGAGGUCAUGCAGGAGACUUCCUAGCCUGUGCACGUGCUAGCCUGCAUCCUCAGAGGCAAGUGAACAUGCUGCCAGUUUGAUUGGGAGCAGUGUUCAGAUGCCAGCCUUCACUACAGAUGGCUGAAACUGAAUUUUCAGUUCAUUGGGUGUGCUGUUUCUACCCUAUCUGAACUACAAGUAUGUUUGUUUAAAUAUUUUCUCUGAAAUUUCACUUUUGGAAAUUUGCCUUGUAGCAUUUCAGAACUAAUUCCGCCCGGUGAAUUAUUUAAUUUGGGAGUUGUUAAUUAUAAUAAUUGUAUGAUAUCCCCUGAUGUUAGUUAUCAGAACUGUCCUGAUGUAAUUGAUAAGUAACACAGACAAUAUGAAAACUGAUAUGAGCCAGCUAAAACAGGUUUUGACAUCUGAUUUUAAAAUUUCACUGCA
Long non-coding RNA from Nothoprocta perdicaria, 756 nucleotides. RefSeq lists it as uncharacterized. The transcript is spliced from 4 exons. The record is from RefSeq and is a predicted model, not a curated record. NCBI's taxonomy places the organism in Eukaryota, Metazoa, Chordata, Aves, Tinamiformes, Tinamidae.